Molecule: long non-coding RNA, 12986 nt
Organism: Dermochelys coriacea (leatherback sea turtle)
Lineage: Eukaryota; Metazoa; Chordata; Testudines; Dermochelyidae
Exons: 5
Source: RefSeq, a predicted model, not a curated record
ACACCUGUCAGGAAUGGUCUAGAUAAUACUUAGUCCUGCCAUGAGUGCAGGGGACUGGACUAGAUGACCUCUCGAGGUCUCUUCCAGUCCUAUGAUUCUAUGUGGAUGACAUAUCUCAAGGAAUCAUAUACUGUAGCGUAAGUAACCAUUCCUUCUUCAUUUGCUCAUCUGAGACCUGAGUUUGAGGUUUUGUUUCCUUGAUCCGAUAUGAAGAUAUCACAUGUAUCCAAAGCAAAAGUGAGUAUAAGAAACCUCAGCUCUGCUUUAACUAUUUGUGAAGCCAUUGUCUUUUGGAAAGGAAAUAGAUUUUAAUCUUCAGAUUUAAGUAUAACGCCCCUGCAAAAAGGCAAACAGCUUAUAUCAGGACCCUGUUUAAGACGUGUAUAUUCUCUCUCACCCAAAGCAAAAUAAUGGUCCAGUAGUGUGUAACCUGCUUUGAACCAGAUGCUUGCUGUGCCUAGUAGGCCACUUCCUCUUGAGGCUGAGUUAGGUGUGUGAGAGACCUGAAAAAGUGUUCGUCUGUGUGCAGUCUGCCUGUAAAUUGCCCAGCAGUAUCACAUCUAAAAAUAUUGCAUGUUCUGAAUAUAUAUGUGUGUGUGUGUGUGUGUGUGUGUGUGUGUGUGUGUGUGUGUGUGUUUUUGCGGGGGAGGAGGGGGGGAGAAAUUGUUAUAUGCUGUCAGUUUUUGUGAAAUUUCAUCUUUUUCAUCUCAUCUCACCAAUAUUCAGGAACUUUGGUGUCACUCAGUUUCACGUGGCAUUGAGUCUGUAAGUGAAUACUGAGUAAUUUUGAUUUUACCUUUUUUCCAGAAUGAGAUGGUCCAAUAAAGGUUGUCAAGUUCAGAUUUAAUCAGUAGGAUGUUGUUGUGGUUAUGUCUAAUAUUUUGGGGUGGGGCUUUCCACAGUGAAAUGAGAGUGGAAGGGCAAGGGGAUCAAGUUGUAUGCUGAUGUCUCUUACUGCUCUGGCACUUUUGAACUAAACAUUUCCAGAGCCCAAAUGCUGGGAUGAUCAGUACCACAGUGAUAAGGGAGUGGUAUCCCAAUGAACGUGGUUCUAGGAUAUAACUGUUUUUGGUCUCACAGAGACCCUCUGUCCAAAUUUUACAUUCCAGCCCUUAUUGCCUAUUAUUAAGAAACAGGAAUGGAUCAUUGAGUUGUACUUUGUCCUUAUGUUUCCAUGUUGCAGCUGUACUGUGCUGUCAAAAUCUUCUCCAACAUCCCCAUUGGGAUGAUGGAGAAGUUCCGAUCAGGUGACAUGUCCAUUCCCUGAGCUUGUGUACAUCUGUGGGUACUGUAUAUUGAGCUGAGCUAAUGUUUGUCUAAUUAGAUCAGAAGCCAUGUCCUGGGGAUUAUUCUGUAUAAUGCACCUAUCCAUCUCCGAGGCAAAUGGAGCCCAUGUUGCCAUCUCGUCAUUUCUCUAUUCAGUUUCUUCUUUAUCUCUCUCACACGAUUAGAAAACAGUGAAGAGUUUAUUUAAAAAGAAUGGGAAAAUAAUUAAACUCCCUAGACAAUAAUAACUCAUUGCAAUGGGACCUGCAUUGCUUACAUCCCGUACCUGGAUGCUCUCUGAAGAAGCUAGUUAUGCAGUUUUGUGGUGUCCUCAUGAGAGGCUUGUGAAUACUGGACUGAAGGGGAGAUCUGAACGGAAAGCUUUUCCCACCAUUCUUUGCUUUCUAUCUAAAUGUAGGUGAUGGGGGUGGAGGAGUGUCUGUUAAUUACAGUGAUUAUUGUACCCUGCUGCAACUUCCUGUAAGGGUAAUGUAUCAAAGUUAAAGCAAUGACUCAUCAGAUUUCUAAUAUUGGAGUGAUGUGAUGUUGAAUUAACAAUGCUGUUUGUUAUUCAUAAUUUAUAUAGCGCCGGAAGUGUGUAUGAUACCUCAUAACAAAUUAAGACUACCAGUCUCUCAGAAAUCAAUGGGAGCUGAAGGUACUCAGCAAUUCAUAAAAAUGAGGCCUAAAUUAGCCAAAGGAAAGUGAAGGGUGAAAACACAAGGGCUGGCUGUAUGGGAAGGAUGGAAGUUACAGUGAUGGAUCACGAGACGCACAUUUUGUCAUACAAGCAUCUCGGCUCCUUUUUAAAUAUAAUUUUUGUGUGAAUUAAGAUUAGUUUAAGCUGUUGAUAAAUGUGCAAGGGAGAAACUAGACAGCAGAGAGUCCAUAUCGUGUUAGAGGACAGGAAAGGUGGAGGUUGGCUUUUGGAGGUGGAGCAAAAGAGUUAAGUAUUCAGGAUGGAUUUGAAGGGAUGUUUAUUUGGGAGAGCUCCGGUGUGUUUCAUGUGUGUGUUAUUAUGCAAAAGAGAAUUAUUCUGUUAAAAAUGUUCUCUCUCUUGAAAGGCAUUUUAAGUGGUUUUGAGCUGCUAUUAAGAUGAUUUCUGCCUUCCCUAAAAUGUUGCAGUCCAGAAGCCCUGUCAAGAGAAAGCGACCUUUGUGGGAGGAGGGAACCGCAGGGUGCUACAUAUCUCAGUUGUUGCAGCAGCCUUUUAAACUCGAGAGAUCUGAUCUCUAUUAUAGCCUAUCUUAACAAGUGAAUUAUUUGGACUCAGUCUAGUGCCAUCCUCCAGAACUACCACACCAAUUGCCAAAGCACAGCAUGACUGGCAGUCUGAGGCGGAAGUGUAGGACUAGAAUAAUGACUGGGUAAGUGAUCUUACACGUCAGGGAUGAGGUGCACUAGCAGAGCUGAUAAAUGAGGAUGGUGCAGGCCUAGCCUGAGAUGCAUUUGUAGACCUGCUGCAGCCCAAGAUUGAAAUAACAGAGGUAGCUGCAGUGUAGGAUUGAAAUACAUUGGCUGAGCUGUGUAGAAGAAUCUUUAAGAGCAUCUGACUUUGCUCUGCCUGGUUCUAGCCAGGGCUAUGAAUCCUUUGCUUUUAUGAGCAUCAAAAAUUUUGAAAGUUGAAGAAAAUUACCCAGCCUACACACACGCACACACAUAAGCUCAUAUAUAUCUAAUAAAGUAAUGUUAUUUCAAUAACAAACACAUAUUAGACACAAACAUUUAAGCAGCAGAAUAGUCUUGUAAUGUGAAAAAUGCCUUUAAACACGAUAUGUUAUGUGAUUAGACUUGAAAGACCUUCCAGCAGGCGUGCACUUUCUAUCCAAGAAACUCAAAGUAUUUUACAAAACAUAUAUGAAUUUAACUUCACAAAACCCAUGUUCUACAGGUGAGUCUAUUCUCAUUGUAGAGAUGGGGAAAUGGAGGCAAAGACCAGUGUUAGCUGAGAGAGUUGCCCAAAGUUACUCAAUGGGUCAGGUAGGAAUCUGGGAGUGAGACUUCUGACCUUAAGUCUCAUCCUCCGUCCUUUGUGCAGGGGUCCCUUCAUUUACCUUUUACACUCAAGCCCAGGUUCGUGUUCACUGUUACCGAAUGUAAGGGUUGUACCUACAGAUUCCGUCAAAGGUUUUUUUUCUUUCUUUCCUGGGAUGAAAGUAGAAGCAAGUCUGAAGUGGCAUCCCCUUUUGCUGGGACAAUGCAUAAAGAAUCUGUCCAUUUAUGCUCGGUUCUUGUUUGAUUGCAUAGGCAGAUGAUGAGAUGAGUUCUUUAUUGGAGGCCAUGCUCCCUAACAAAGGAGUCUUGUUGAGAGAACAUUACUUGUAUCACAUUACUAAAAUGGGCGCAAGGGAUGUCACAAUAGCUUUGUCCAGAAUCAUUUACUUCAAAUGCUAACAUAACAUGCUCUUUUAAGGAGCAACAAAAACCUUCAAUUUGUACAUAAAGCUUGCUAAUUUACAACAUUCGUUUUGCUGGUUAGUUUUCUUCUUAAUUGGAAAUUUUAAUUACUACGUGCUGUGUAUUAAGAUGUUGAAGCUGUGACUGGCAGUGCAGAAUUGCAGAAAGAUCAACCAUCUCUACAGGGCAGCCACACAGCAGGGAUUAGCUCGCCCCCUUCUGCCUGCAGCUAUCUUUUGCUUGCUGUGCCAGGUCAUCAGAAACAUGCUGCUAAAUAACAUGCAUCUUCCUGGUUGGCCCUUGUCACUUCCCAGGUGCUUGGGUUUCUCUUUCCGUUUUAAAUGAUACCUAUGGAAAUCUACAGAUUGGAAAGACCAGGGUUCAGAAUUGAAUGGCAGAUGGGGGGAAUUGUUGAUUUCACUCUGGCUCUGGAUCAGCCUUCCCUUUGUCUGAUUAAUGCUCUUGCAUUUUUCUGCCAGGCAGGACAGGACUCCCUUCCUAUCUUUGGAGUCAGUUGCUAUAUUUGCAGUUUACAUCAGUUCCAGUUUUCAGUCCUGCCUAGCAAUUUAGAAGAGAGUUGCGUGGGGAGUUCUUGUUCUCUUUUAUCUGCUGAUGUCAGCCAUCUAUUACACACUGUGCAAAGCACAUGACGUGCAUGUUGGGGUGUGAAUAUCCCUUGAGGGUAGAUGUGCUUUACAUGUUCUUCAGGCUCCCUUCUUUCUUCAUUUGCCUUCUUUCCCGUUGCUUUAAUGCAGAUUCACAGGAAGAUAAGACCUGCCAGAGAGGAUCAGAUCAGUGGUCCAUCUAGUCCAGUAUCUGGUCUCUGUCAGGGGCCAGUAUCAGUUGCUUCCAUGAAAAGUACAAAAAAACCCAUAGUGGAAAAUUAUGGAAUAAAUUUUCUCAUUGGGGAAGUUUCUGCCAAACUCCAGUCAAUUGUUGGUUGACUUAUGUCCUGAAGCUUGAGGAUUCAUAUCGCCUCUAAUGUAACUGUGGAUGUUCUCAUUACCCACACAAAUAUCCAAUCCUUUAAAAAAUCCUGCUAAACACAGAGACUCAAAGAUAUUUGGUAACAUGGAAUACUACAGGUUAAUUAUGCAACUAUGUAAAAUACAUCAGUUUUUUACAUUUUCUGCCUUUCAGUUUCAUAAUUCUUGCAUUAUGAGAGGGUAAAUAGGAACAUCUGAUUUGCCUUCUUUAUACCAUUCAUUAUUUUGUUUACCUUUAUUACAUCCCCUCUUUCUCAUCUCCUUUCUGAAUAUUGCAAAUCUUUUCAUUUGUUCUUCAUAGGCAAGUUUUUCUGUGCUUCUAAUCAUUUUCAAUCAAAAUAUCUCUUUAAAAAUACGACCAGAUCAGAUCACAAUACUUGGAUGUACCACUAAUUAUAUAAUAGCACUAUAAUACUUGGCUAUUAUCUAUCCAUUCCCUAUGCAUCAUAAUAUUUUGUUUACCUUUUCUGAGUCCUGCUGUGGAUUGAUCACAUUUUGUUGAGCUGCCCACAGUGCUGCCCAGAUCUUUUAUCCUGAGUCAUUACAGUUAAUUUAGAACUCAACAGUUUGACCAUUUAAAUUAUUCUUUCUGUGAUUUAUCUUGCUUUUGUCAACAGUGAAUUUUGUGUUCCUUACCCUAGCCCACUCACCUUGCUUUGUUGGGUCUCUCUGAAGUUCCUCCUCAUCUUCUGAGCCUCAAUGAACUUAAUUUUGUGUCCUCUGCAAAUUUUACCACAUCACUGUUCCUCACUUCAGAUCCUUAAUACAGUAAGCAAUACCAGUGCUAGUAUGGAUUCAUGGAGCAACCCCAGUGUUAACCUUUCAUCAUGUUGAAACUGAACCAUUUAUUCCUACCCUUUGUUUUCUGACUCUUAGCCAAUUUUUAAUCCAUGACAUGACUAUACAACUCACUCUGUGACUACUUAUUUUGUUCCUUAGUCUCUUGUGAGGCACUUGUCAAAUGCUACUUGAAAGCCCAAAUUGUCAGCUGGUCCUCGGUUAUUCAUUAUUUUGCAGCUUUGCGGGAAGAAUUCCAGUAGACUAGAGAGACACAAUUUUCCUUUGCAGAAACUUUGCCUGUUUGGCACGCCUCAGGUCAUGGUUAUUUAGGUUUUCUAUUUUUCUGGUUUUAAUUAUUGCUUCAACCAGUUUACCUGGCACUGAAAUAAAGUUCGCUGGUCUGUAAUUCCAAGGAUCACUCAUAGCCCUGUUUUUAAAGAUAGGCACAACAUUUGCUACCCUACUAUCUGCCAGUAUAGUAGCUGAUUUUAAUGAGAGUGCAUAUUUUUGUUAGCAGCUCAUUCCUUUAGUCUCUUGGAUAUAGACCAUUUGUGGUGACUUACUGCUCUUCUAAUUCUUUAGUUUGGUUUGACACCUCAGUUGCUGACAGUAUAUUAUCUUCUUACCUGAAACAGUAGGGCUUGGGUAGGUAUCUUGCCAACAUCCUCUGUGGUGAAGACUGCCUCAACAAAAUCUUUUAACUUCUCCAUUAUUUCCUUAUUCUCUUUAAUUGCUGCCUUUAUUCCCUGGUGAACUGGAGAUGGCAGUGUUCAUUUGUUUGCAACAAAUAGAAAAUGAAGUGUGAUGUAGAAAAUAAAAUACAAUUGAAAAGUGGACUGAUACUUAAAUGUUCAUGUUGGGAAUGCUCUAAUGUAAAUACCUCAUGGCUCCUGCCUGUAAAUUCUGACAGUGCUCUGUCAUAUGUAGGUAUUUAGUGGUUUGGAGUGCCUCAUCAUCCUGAACUCAUAAAAAUCAAAUCCAGGUAAAGCCAUGUGGUGAUGUGGAGCAACGGAAUCCUCUCACUGAUCACUGAAAUGCAGCUCCCUCCCCGCCCCCCCGCCCCCGGACUGGAAAAUGGCCAUUGUACUAUGAUGCCAGCAACACUGCACCACAGCUUUGCAGAAGAUAUCACUGCAUUAAGUUGAAAUUGCAGGGGGAAAUUUAAGUAUGUAGACGGCAAUGUAGCUGAAUUGAACUGUACUUGUAUCUGUCUAUCUAGAUACUCAUGUGGCCCGUGUCACCAGAGUAUCUGACUGCCUCCAAAUCAUUAAGGGAUAUUAUCCUUACAACACCCCCAUGAAGGAGGGAAGUAUUAUCCCCAUUUUACAAGCGGGAAAUGAGUCACAGGUUGGAAGAAGCGACUUACCCAAGGUCAUGCAGGGAGUCUCUGGCUGCCAUGGAACAUGAACCUAGGUUUUCAAGUCCUAUCCAGUGCCAUGUGCUCUGGAUCAUCCUCCUCCUUGAGGGAUGGAAUUUUGUCUGACACAAGUGAUAACUCCCACACUGUCUUGAAGGUACCCUGAGAUUUUUAAUAUUCCCAAACAAAGCUCAGUUUAAUGCUAUAUCUGGAACAUGACACUUGGUAUCUUAGACCAAACAUCAUGCCUCAUGAUUACUGAAUCAGAUGGAAGAAUGCCACCUAUUGCACCCCCAUUACCACUCCUCGCCACACUUUGGGUUUUCGAUGGCCUACAAUCCAAGAAGCACCCCUUGCCAUUCCAGUAGGUUGUCCUUCUCACUAACUACAACCCUAAACCCAAACAUCCCCAUAUUCUGGGGUGACUGGAAUCUGAACCCCAUUCUGGACCCAAAUUUCAUCUCUGCUGUCUCUAUUAUCAAGCCUAAAUCAAAACAACCCUGAACAUUUUUUUAAGUGAGGGAGAGGGAUUUACAACUUGGAUCUGGAUCCACAUUUUACAUCUAAACUGCAUGAAGUUUUGUUGAUUUGGGUGGUUGCCUCCUAGGGAUUUAUGUUUUUGAGGCAGUCAGAUACUCUGGUGACACGGGCCACAUGAGUAUCUAGAUAGACAGAUACAAUUGCAGUUCAAUUCAGCUACGUUGCCGUCUACAUACUUAAAUUUCCCCUUGCAGUUUCAAUUGGAUGUGGUAUCUCAGUGCAAAGCUGUGGUGCCAUGUUGCUUGGUAUCAUUUUCACAAGAAUUCUAAGCUGGGAUUUGAAGUGAAGGUGAGUCUGACCCUUUUCCCUGAUGUGAUGCCUACAGCCCCAAUUUAAAUGGCUUCAUUAAUAUUUUAUAUGCAAAUAAUGCCCUUACCAGUACCACUCAUGCCUUCCUUUUUUACUGGAACGUUAUUAAGCAUAUAAGAAAUCCAACAGCUGAUGCCACAAGAAGCUAUUGGAUUUAAGCCCAUCUGAACAUGUAGCUAUUAAGACAGCUCCUGCCCCUUUGUGUAACAAAUGGUUAUUGGUUAUUAUAGAGAGCUACACAACUUCACCUUCGCAUGGAGUGUUCCUCAGAGAAUCUCCAGCGGAAGGUGUUUGCUGCUGCUUGAGCCCUGGGAAAUGCUCUUACUCCAUUAGCCCUGCUGCACUUGUUCCUUUUUUUUUUUUUUGUAGUGAACCCAAAGAGCAGGAAAAUGUAUCUUUCCAGCCACGCAAGCAGGAAUUAGGUUGACUGUACUUUACACAUAAACUAACAAAUGAGGGGAGAAUCUGAGCAGCCCCUGGGGACCUGAAUUUGUUUGCCACUGGGCCGUUCUAUCUGCAGCUGGCAUCGACGGAAACCUGAGUGCUCCAUUAAAGCUCAGCAGCUACUAUUCGCUGGGGCGCAGGGCAAACAGAGCCAGCCUGUUCUGCAGACAGACUGACGGCCUUUAUCUCCCCCCACCCGGCUCGCGAUGGGAAAUGAUGAGACUGAAACAAAAAGCUUGAAUCGAGGACUCCUGGCUCGUACCCUGCACCUGUUGUACUGGUGAGGAGUGGAGACACAAAGUUGCUUUUCAGGGGCCUAGCAGUGGGAAACUCGUUUGAGAGCACUGCAUUAAGCCUGGGUCAGGGCUAACCUUUGGGUACUGAUGGGGAUGAGCAUGCAUAGCUCUUUCCCCAGCUCUGGCUGAUGAUCAGAAAUUAGGGAACCAUGAGUGUCUACAUUGUAGAAUCCUGGGAAUUGCUGCUCUAGUUACAAACAUGGAGGACAGGGGGGCAGCAACCUAUGCUGCCCCCACCCCUUCAGCUAUGUCCAUGGAUUAAUUCCUUUUAAAGUCUUAAACAAAAGAAAAGGAAUUAAUCCUCUUCCUCUCCCCCGCCACCAGCCCCCACGCACCCUCUUGCAGUAAAGAUUGUCAUUAAAAUGAACAGACCUAUUCUGUCAGAAAGACAGGUGACUGUUCAUUACCUUAUCUGAUUCUUUAACCCUGUAGCUGCCAAACAGAAAGGAACUAUAUAUGUUUCUAGUGGGGAGCUGUUAAUAAUUUGAAUUGUUGAGAAGCCUGAAUAAUCCACAUCAAUGACUGAAUUUUAGAAGUGAAAGGCUUUGAGUUUAUCCUUGUAUAUAAGUAAUAUUCCAGCAAUUGGACAACUGUCAUGUUUUUGUGUCUGUGUGUUCUCUACAUUAAGUUCAUUAAGUCCUUGUGAUAUCAGAGUGCUAAAGCCAAACCCAAUACACUUAUUAUAUUGUUAUGAUUAUUAUUUAUUAUUGCAAAUCCAGGGUAAGUGGCCUUUCAAAUGUCCUUCAACCCCGAAGAGUCUAGGUCCAGGAGGAGUUUGCUGGCAAAUAUUCAGACUAUCCAAAUUAUAGCUAUGUUAGUUCUGAUGAACCAAGGCGCAUCUCUCGGUAAAAUAAAAUGAAGGGGCUUGUGAGUUUAAAAUUCAAAUAUCAAUCUUAGUGUGUGUCUGUUAGUGUGAGGGAGGUGGCUGGCUGGGGAGACCCUGACCUAACAAGAAUUCAGGUGCAGUUACACCUCUGUUCUGCUCACUGCUACGCUAUCCCUUUGUUCCACGUGCGGGGUGUAUAAUCAAUAGUUUAGCAUGUGGGGCAGCCAGUGAGUUGCCAUGUCUCAGAUACCUUGAGGCCAUGCUUUGUACACUGACCCAGUGAUAUAAUUUAAUAGUAAUUUGCCACUUUCUUUGAGAGUCUGGGACAUCUCUUCUCUUUGAUUGUCAUACACUAGCACAACUGUCUGGGUUAUAUGUGGGCUGUUUUAAAGCAACCCUAGGUUUUGGGGAUAUCUUUGGGACUUGUGCAUAAUCUUUUUUUUCUUCCUCAAUCACAGCUGAUUUACCAAGGUACUCUGUGUGUAAAUAGUGACUGUCUCCUUCCUAACCAAUCUCCUUCUGCUUCUUGGUUCCUUUAAUGGAGUUUCUAGUCACGAUACCAAUCAAAUGUCAGGCCUAUAUCUGGUCCUCCUAAGCCCUGAAUGGAUCAGGACUGAGCUGUUUCAAUAGCUGUUCUCUAUCCACUCCUGUCCUGGUCAACUACAUGCAACAGAGGCACUUCAACUGUUGGAGCCCAAGUUUGAACUUGUGACAGUCGGGGGCUGGACAGUCUCAGUGUAGCCCCCGGGAUUAUGGAACUCUCUCCCACGGCACAUCACGCUGACUAAAUCUCUUGACCUAUAGUGAGUGGCACAAGAGACAUGCUUUAAGACAGUUGACACCAAUGGAAUUCCCCACUAGCCCCCAAUCAACGUAAUGGAAGCAGGGCAGGAAUGUCCUACCUUUUUGGAGAGUUUUCAAGGAGUGUGAGUGGUGAAGAAAUCCAGCCAUGUGAACAUUAGGAAGGAUUUGGCAGACUGACAAUCCCCUUAAGAUUCUCUGGCACGCAUGCUGCAUGAUGCCUGACAGCAUCUCUGUGACAAGCUCUCCUGCAUUAAGAUUGUGACCUGAAGACCAGAGCAUCUCAGGAAAUCAGGGAAGAACAAGCAAUAAGAGAUGCUGAGUGAGGAGUAGCAGUGUCUCCAAAAGAUGUCGUAGGUUGAAAGGUUUCAUUUUAGUUUUGGGCUUGAUCCAGAACUCCUGAACCAUCCCUGAUGUUCGCAAUGGCAUGCUGGGCAGGAAAGAGGCAAGUGUGAAACCCUGUGUGGCCUCUUUGCUACCUCCUUGAAAAUAAAGCAGAUAUAUAGUGUUGGGAGAUCUGGUUGGCCACAUGAUGGCCACCGUUGUGAAAAUUGCCUUGUUUCAUCUCAGUGCAGUGUUGUGACACUGCAUUAUAAUGCCACCAUGUCCAGGCACAACACAGUCUUGUUAUAGGAUGACAUGUGCUGGCCCAAAUUAAACAGGCACUUCAAAGCUUCCGCAAUCCUGGAGGUAUCCAGAUAGGUGGCAAACAACCUAACUCAGGAAACACUGAGAUUAGAGCAAGUACAGAAGACUUCAGCUUCUGUGCCUUGUGUUCCCUGAUGGUGACCAUUUCACAAUAUAUUAGUAGAGGUAUCCAGUAAUGUGUCCAGCAGAAACUUCUGUGUGCAGAGUCCAACCCUGUCCAUGAGACCCUGUUUGUUUUGUUUUGAUAUGGACUGCAUCAUGCCUUUUGUUCAUCCGUAGCCUUGACUCCUUGCACUCCAGGUGCACUUGACUCUUUUCAGAAGGCCUAGGUUUAUCACUCUUGGAUCAGCUGUUUGCUCUGUUUUUUAUAUAAAAGCUUUUCAAAGGGCCUUUGGAACUGUCUGUGUUAUUUUUGGCUUGGGUUCCCAGUAACACUCCUUGCAGAAUUAAAACUUCUAAUUAAACAGCAAAAGCCAAAUUGUUGCAAAGUUAAGGUGGAUAAUUUAAUUGUGAACAAAGCAGAGAAUUCAGAUUUAAGGAUUCCCACCACAAUCUUAGCUCUGCCCAUUAAGACUCCUGCAUUACAGCAAGGACAUUCCUUACAAUAUCUAGAUUUUUUUUAAAAACUCAACCAAACAUCCCUGCUAAACACUUGGAUGGUGCACAACUUUAGACAACCAUUCUACUAAAAAAAAACCCUCUUACCAUUUAAACAGAAGACAUGGAAGGGGUUGGGUACAGGGGAAAAGAAGAAAUAUGGGCAGUGAGGAAAAGGUAAUAAUAGAAGAUAGAUGCAAUGAAAGCAGACACGGGUUAUAUUUCUCACUCUCAGCCCCUGAUCAACUGCGUGAACUUGGAUGAGCUACUUACUCUCCUUGUGGCUGUCUCCUCAUCCUUCCCUUUUGAAACAUGCUUUGAGAUCAUCUGUCAAAAGACCAUACCCUAUAGAAGUAGGGUGUGUGUAUAUGUGAAUUCCUGUGAGAUGCUAGCUGCCCUUUCUGUGCUUGUAGGGGAAUGUAUGCCCAGUCCUGCCUGUAUCCCUGUGGGGUUCCAGCCAGGUGCUCUCUGCCUCUUUGGGCAUGCCUGCCAGGCACUGCCUGAAUCCCUAUAAGCUCUCUUAGCUUCUCUGUACUUUUGGGAGGAGUUAUGGGGGUGUGUGCCAGGCCCUGCCUGAAUCCCCAUGAGGUUGCCGCCAUGUAUUUUGUGCCUUUAGGGUUUCUUGGCAUGUGUGUAUGUGUGUCUGGCGCUGUCUGAAUUCCUGUGAGGUUCCAGCCAAGCUGUCUGCAAAGCGGCUUCUGAGAAGAAGAAGAAGAAGAAGAAGAAAAAAAAGAAAAGCAGAUGAUUGACAUAAGCCCUUUAGAUUUCUGUUGUUAAUGCACCAGUAAUAAGAUAAGGCUUAUCUUUAAAUGUUCAUGGAAUCGAGACUUUGAUGGAAACAGGCUUUUGGGUUAAUAUAUUUUUGAUAGAUAAAGCAGAAUAAAAUGAGAGGCCGGGGGAACCUACAGUAUCUGGGGAGAGAGACUUUUUUUCUUUUUAAAUCUCUCUCCCCGCAUGUGGUGUGCGGGUAGUUUAUAUAUAUACUGUAUAUACAUUAUGUGUUUGUAAACAGGCACACAGUGUGCGUAGCCUGUGUAAGAGACAGCCAGUUGAAAUGAAGUCUGCUGUUGUCUGCCAGUUGGAAUGAAAAAAUCUAACCCUUUCUCCCUCCAGUUCUGCUCAAGUCCAGUCAUUGUCGAGGCGGGUAAAUGCGAACCAAGGUUGCAAUGCAGCAUAGAUUCCAAUCCCCCUGCCCUGACUGGAGAUGAGCUGUGUGCCAGCUGCUGGAGGAGUUUGGGCAGCAAAGUCUUGCUGUUCGUUUAGCCUAGAGGGGGAGUUUUGGACGUUGCUUUACCGACUGCGUUUCAGCUUGAGCCCGUUGCGCGAUCUGUUUUGCAUAUUUGCACAUUUGGAUGAAAUUAUCUCACUACUGUGCGGUAGUACAGUAUCUGUGCAGACCAAGCCAACUGCUGAGCUACGGCACCAUUUUCCUGGAUCGCUGAUGGUUUUCUGGUUGUUUUUAAGCAGUACCUCUAAAUUACAAUUGUCACAUCUUACUCCCGCUUGAGUCUCCUCUCAUCCCCCCUCAAGCCCCAGGCAUAUUCCCCUGUGUUAUCCUCCCUGCCUGUGAGCUUCUGCACCACGGCUCCUGCCAUCUAAGCUACGCAGCAUGUCAUGGCAGGGAGGUGGGGAAGCCUUGUAAUUCUGCAUUGCUGGUCGAGGGGAUAGCACAGAAGGGGGCAGUUGUCUAACACUGCAGCACAGACCCAAGAUUGGGUAUGGAGCCCCUCCAGGGUGUA